Molecule: ribosomal RNA, 467 nt
Filed under: uncultured bacterium
Lineage: Bacteria
Description: partial 16S ribosomal RNA
Rfam family: Bacterial small subunit ribosomal RNA
Source: RNAcentral
ACGAACGCUGGCGGCGUGCUUAACACCUGCAAGUCGAGCGGAAAGGCCCUGCUUUUGUGGGGUGCUCGAGUGGCGAACGGGUGAGUAACACGUGAGUAACCUGCCCUUGACUUUGGGAUAACUUCAGGAAACUGGGGCUAAUACCGGAUAGGAGCUCCUGCUGCAUGGUGGGGGUUGGAAAGUUUCGGCGGUUGGGGAUGGACUCGCGGCUUAUCAGCUUGUUGGUGGGGUAGUGGCUUACCAAGGCUUUGACGGGUAGCCGGCCUGAGAGGGUGACCGGCCACAUUGGGACUGAGAUACGGCCCAGACUCCUACGGGAGGCAGCAGUGGGGAAUAUUGCACAAUGGGCGGAAGCCUGAUGCAGCAACGCCGCGUGCGGGAUGACGGCCUUCGGGUUGUAAACCGCUUUCGCCUGUGACGAAGCGUGAGUGACGGUAAUGGGUAAAGAAGCACCGGCUAACUACGUG